This 497-nucleotide ribosomal RNA is filed under the name uncultured bacterium. RNAcentral's name for it is "partial 16S ribosomal RNA". It matches the Rfam family "Bacterial small subunit ribosomal RNA", at positions 28 to 507 of the family's 1533-position model. The record is from RNAcentral.
GAUGAACGCUGGCGGCGUGCCUAAUACAUGCAAGUCGAGCGAACGGACGAGAAGCUUGCUUCUCUGAUGUUAGCGGCGGACGGGUGAGUAACACGUGGAUAACCUACCUAUAAGACUGGGAUAACUUCGGGAAACCGGAGCUAAUACCGGAUAAUAUUUUGAACCGCAUGGUUCAAAAGUGAAAGACGGUCUUGCUGUCACUUAUAGCUGGAUCCGCGCUGCAUUAGCUAGUUGGUAAGGUAACGGCUUACCAAGGCAACGAUGCAUAGCCGACCUGAGAGGGUGAUCGGCCACACGGGAACUGAGACACGGUCCAGACUCCUACGGGAGGCAGCAGUAGGGAAUCUUCCGCAAUGGGCGAAAGCCUGACGGAGCGACGCCGCGUGAGUGAUGAAGGUCUUCGGAUCGUAAAACUCUGUUAUUAGGGAAGAACAUAUGUGUAAGUAACUGUGCACAUCUUGACGGUACCUAAUCAGAAAGCCACGGCUAACUACGUG